Molecule: transfer RNA, 69 nt
Filed under: Actinomycetota bacterium
Lineage: Bacteria; Bacillati; Actinomycetota
Description: tRNA-OTHER
Source: RNAcentral
GGCGUGAGGGUAGUAAGCCUGAGGAGAGACGGCAGGAACGUUACGCGGGUUCGAUUCCCGCCGCCUCCA